This 444-nucleotide long non-coding RNA is filed under the name Erythranthe guttata (spotted monkey flower). RNAcentral's name for it is "long non-coding RNA (EGUT_LNC002740)". The record is from RNAcentral. Lineage: Eukaryota; Viridiplantae; Streptophyta; Magnoliopsida; Lamiales; Phrymaceae.
AUUUUAUUUAUUUAUUUUCUCUUUUUUUUUCCUUCUUUCUCUUCUUUUCCACACAAGCUGCCGUCAUCUCUACCCAUCUAUCUUUGCCUAAUGCCAGCGCCAUCUCUGCCUCCGCCAUCUCCCCCCCACCGUCAGAAGCGGCCUCGUAUUGGCUCGAUGACGAAAAAAUCUCGGACAUAAAGUUAUCCUCUUAUUUUUUUUCGUGAUUUGAGUGAUGAUGUGGAUGUUUAUUGUUAAUCUAGAUUCGUUGAUUGACAAUAAUCUCAUUUUGAUUUCAGAGUGAAAAUUGACCAUUUGCUUCAAAUCUUAAAGUUUUCCCUUUUUUUUUUUUUUUUUUUUUUUUUUAUCUUUUCUUAGAUUCUCUACAUUAGGGUUUUGCGGGGAGCAUAUGAUGUUUUUUGGUUGUUUUCCUACAACAAUAUAGUUGUUUCUGUUAUUUUUUAA